UACGUAGGGUGCGAGCGUUGUCCGGAAUUAUUGGGCGUAAAGAGCUUGUAGGUGGCUCGUCGCGUCGGGAGUGAAAACCCGCGGCUUAACCGCGGGCCUGCUUUCGAUACGGGCGGGCUAGAGUUCGGCAGGGGAGAACGGAAUUCCUGGUGUAGCGGUGAAAUGCGCAGAUAUCAGGAGGAACACCGGUGGCGAAGGCGGUUCUCUGGGCCUGUACUGACGCUGAGGAGCGAAAGCGUGGGGAGCAAACAGG
Molecule: ribosomal RNA, 253 nt
Filed under: uncultured bacterium
Lineage: Bacteria
Description: partial 16S ribosomal RNA
Rfam family: Bacterial small subunit ribosomal RNA
Source: RNAcentral